CAGUCGCCGCGGGAAAACGUAGGUGGCAAGCGUUGUCCGGAAUUAUUGGGCGUAAAGGGAGCGCAGGCGGUUUAGUAAGUCUGAAGUUAAAGGCAUUGGCUCAACCAAUGUAUGCUUUGGAAACUGUCAGACUUGAGUGCAGAAGGGGAGAGUGGAAUUCCAUGUGUAGCGGUGAAAUGCGUAGAUAUAUGGAGGAACACCGGUGGCGAAAGCGGCUCUCUGGUCUGUCACUGACGCUGAGGCUCGAAAGCGUGGGUAGCGAACAGGAUUAGAUACCCCCGUAGUCCCUGUCUCUUAUACA
Molecule: ribosomal RNA, 301 nt
Filed under: uncultured bacterium
Lineage: Bacteria
Description: partial 16S ribosomal RNA
Rfam family: Bacterial small subunit ribosomal RNA
Source: RNAcentral